GUCUGAUCCCUGCCCAUCUGUUUGAACGAAACUAUCUGCACAUCCUGAAGUUCCUCGUUCCUGCUCUGUUUGUCCUGAUGAUUAUCAUUUUAAUCAUUGUAGUUUUAAGAUACAGGAGGAAGAAAUCUAUUCAACAAGGAA
Hippoglossus stenolepis (Pacific halibut) is the source of this 141-nucleotide long non-coding RNA. RefSeq lists it as uncharacterized. NCBI's taxonomy places the organism in Eukaryota, Metazoa, Chordata, Actinopteri, Pleuronectiformes, Pleuronectidae. The record is from RefSeq and is a predicted model, not a curated record. The transcript has 3 exons.